Mya arenaria is the source of this 864-nucleotide long non-coding RNA. RefSeq lists it as uncharacterized. The record is from RefSeq and is a predicted model, not a curated record. Lineage: Eukaryota; Metazoa; Mollusca; Bivalvia; Myida; Myidae. The transcript is spliced from 3 exons.
UGAAUCUGACUUUAAACCGGUUUAACACAAACAUACAAUUACAAUAAUCAAUACCAGGGUACAUGUAUCAUGCUGGAAAAUUACGAAUGUGUCAGACGAAUUAUUUUGUUUUUCAUAGAAGAUAAACAAAAUCAUCGAGCUUUGUAGAACGAUGAAUCAGAAUGACUGAAUGACACUAAGUUUUGCAAAAUGGAUAUAUCCCUAACUUCCAUGGCCUUCGACAUAUUUGAGUGGGAUCCUGAAACAACCCCUGACACAACAACUUAAUUUACAAGAACAACCCUGCGUAUAAGAACUUCAAUACUUCUGACAAAAACAAACAAAAGCAACUCCAGAUUUAUGAACAACUCUGAUUACUAGAACAUGAACACCAACCCCAUCUUCAAGAACAACAACUUCAACCCCAGAACAUCAACACUUCCUGCAGGGACAACUACAAAAACAUCGGCUUCAAGAACAAAUUCAUCCUAAACAAAACAUCAGCAACAACAGCUACCCGAAAAAAACUACUCGAACUACAAGAACACCAGCAACACACUCUUUAAGAACACCAGCAUCAUCAUCUUCUUCUAGACUUGCAAAUGCAACAAACACCAAAGACAAAGUUGAAUGGCUAACUUCAAUGGAGAGGACAGAGUAAUGGCAAAAAGAGGAUCAUUUUAAAGAGAGGAGGAAGAGGGAUAUGUAAAGAGUGUUCUGAGGCCAGGAUAUCAGCAGUGCGUUCAGUCAGGCGAGCGUUUACAAAACGCUCGCAAACGUUUUGUUUUGUAUCUCUGUUGCAACGCAGCGCAUAUACGUUAAGCGGGAAACCAAACAGCAAACGUUCGCCGCAAACAUCUUUACUGAACGCGUUGCAGAUUCAUG